RNA transcript from Triticum aestivum (bread wheat), 4466 nucleotides. It is a transcript of the gene named probable tRNA-splicing endonuclease subunit Sen2, with no coding region annotated. The record is from RefSeq and is a predicted model, not a curated record. The transcript is spliced from 5 exons. NCBI's taxonomy places the organism in Eukaryota, Viridiplantae, Streptophyta, Magnoliopsida, Poales, Poaceae.
UUUGUGAAGCAUGGUAUGAAAAAAAUCCUUGGUUGGAAUAUAGCGUGGAAAAGAAUGCAAUCUAUUGCUUUUAUUGUUUUCUUUUUAGACAAGAUCCGGUGGAUGAAAAAUUUGGUCAUACUACCUUCACCAAAGAUGGCUACAGUACUUGGAAGAAUGCAUACAAGGCAUUUCCUCUUCAUGUUGGUGGCCCCAGGAGUAUCCACAAUCAAUCAAGGACAGCAUAUGAAGAUUUUAAAAAUCAAAGCUCAAGUCUGAAGCGUAAGGUUACAGUCUAUAACAAAGAAUCAUUAAUCAAGUAUGAGACCCGUUUGGAAACAUCUUUGGGGAUUGUAAGUUUUCUUGCAUUGCAAGGUGAACCAUUUCGUGGACACAAUGAAUCUGCCCUUUCCUUAAAUAAGGAUAAUUUUCUAGAGAUGCUUGAUUGGUACAAAGCAAGAAAGGAGGAAGUGAGAAUUGCGUUUGAUGAGCUAUGCCCAGGAAAUGCACAAAUGAUUUCUUCAACAAUUCAAAAAGCACUUGCCAAAAGUUGUGCAGAUGGGGUCCGAAGAGCAAUAAAACAAGAGAUGGGGGAUAAUCUUUAUUCGGUUCUUAUUGAUGAAUCUCGUGAUAUAUCAAUAAAAGAACAAAUGGCCUUGGUUGUGAGGUAUAUGAGCAAGGGAGAAGUUAUUGAAAGAUUUUUGGGUAUCAAGCAUGUCAAGGAGACAACAGCAGAAGCACUAAAGAAAGCAUUGGUUGAGGUUCUUGGUAAGAAUGGGCUACUUAUUGCAAAUUUACGAGGGCAAGGGUAUGAUGGAGCAUCUAAUAUGAGGGGAGAGUUCAAUAGUGUUCAAAAACUUGUCCGAGAUGAAAACCCAUAUGCUUUCUAUAUGCAUUGUUUCGCCCAUCGAUUGCAGCUAGUAGUUGUUGCUGUCUCAAGAUGUUGUUCUUCCAUUGAGGAUUUCUUUGAAUAUGUGGCCUUGAUUAUGAACGCCGCUGGUUCGUCUUGCAAGAGGAAGGAUAUAUUGCUUGAUAAGCAACGCAUAAAUCUGUUGGCUAAGUUAGAGAGUGGAGAAAUUUUCUCAGGAAGAGGGAAAAACCAGGAAACAUCAUUGGCUAGACCAGGAGAUACAAGAUGGGGCUCUCAUUAUAAAACACUAGUUCGUAUAGAAUCGAUGUGGGAUGCAGUUAUACAAGUGUUAGCUAUUGUGCAUGAGGAUGAGCGUAAUCCAUCUAGGGCAGGAGGUUUGGUGCAGAUAAUGAAGUCUUUUAGCUUUGUGUUCAUCAUGAAAUUGAUGUUGCAAAUCCUUCGCAUUACAAAUCAGUUGUCACUUCUCCUGCAACGGAAGGAUCAGAAUAUUGUUCAAGCCAUGUCUUUGGUUAUAGAUGUGAGGUCUUCCUUGGCCAACUUGAGGAACCAUGGUUGGGAACCACUCUUUGAAGAUGUCAAGAUCUUUUGUGAUGUUAAUGAUAUUCCGGUUCCAAAUAUGGAUGAAGCUGUACCGAGAUUCGGCCGAUCAAGAAAAGGAGGGAGAAAUAAUGUUACUCAAGAACAUUUUUUUCGUGUUGAUACCUUCUAUGCAGCAAUAGAUGCUAUCACCACAGAGCUGGAUCAUCGCUUUAAUGACAUGGCUUCAGAACUGCUAUGUGGAUUUGCUUGUCUUGACCCAAGAGACUCAUUUUCCAAGUUUGAUUUGGACAAAGUUGCUAAGCUUACAGACAUCUAUGAUGCAGAUUUCUCCAAUGAUGACCGUAAGCGUAUGAAAACCGAGCUCCAGUUGUUCAUCAACCACAUGAGAAGACAUGAUGACUUUAGAGUUUGUUAUGAUCUUGCAAGCCUAGCCAAGAAAAUGUUUGAACUUGAAAGAAAUAUUAUGUUCCCUCUGGUUUAUCGCCUUAUUGAGUUGGGGUUGCUUCUACCGGUGGCAACGGCAUCGGUUGAAAGGGCCUUCUCAGCAAUGAAGAUCAUCAAGACCGAUUUGCGCAGCAAGAUGUCCAAUGGUUGGCUUGAUGACUUAAUGGUGUGCUACAUUGAGAGAGAGAUAUUUAAAGGACUUGAUCUUGCUGAAAUUAAGAAAGAAUUUCAACAUGAAGGUAGAAGAAUGCCAUUGCCACGUUCUAUUUAAUGAGAGUAAAUCUUCAUUAUGGGUCAUCUUUAUACCGGUCUAGGUAAUAUAAAUGGUUUUUUUGGCACUAAUCAUCCAUGUAAUCUUCAUCAGCUAAGGACUGCAGGACUAGAAACCUCUGAAUGACCACCGCGCUCCAGCCUACUGAAGAAAAGAGUUUGCACCUCGUUGAAGAUGGAGUUCAGACCAUGCUCCCAGUCUGGAUCACAACCGGUGUUUGGCAGCCUAUCUUUAUCAGCCCUCGUGGUGUCAGUCAUUACAAGGUGGAUAGCCCAGCAGUGCCGUGAGCAGCGAUGUGAACCGCGCAGAGAAGAAGAAGCGUAUAAGGAAGAACAAGAUCACACAGGAGGAACUGUAGUUUUCAACUAUUUGGGUGUAAUACUAGGCUUCACAGUUCUCUCUAGCCUACUUGCAUACAAGCUGAGAUUCCGACAAUAAAGCUAAAUAUUUCUCUGUACCCCUAUUGGUGAUGUGUAACUUCUCAUCUUAUUGCAAAACUGUGCCGGUACUCUUGUGCAAUUUGGAAAGAUUUCUAGAAAUGGUGCAUACAUAUAUCCAUACAACUGUAUCUGACUGCAGAGUGCAGACAUCAUAUUAUGGUAUGCUCUGGACUGGUCUUUUCUCUGUCUUCUCAAGGACUGCAGGACUAGAAACUUCUGAAUGACCACCGCGCUCCAGCCUAUUGAAGAAAAGAGGUACACUAGACACAUUUUCUUCAAAUAGUGGCCCAGAGUUUUUUCCUUAUAUAGUUUCAGUGUUUAGUUCUUGAAUACAUUCAGGUCUUAAGUAUACAUUUAGUAAAUAUCAGAGUCGAUAUCUACUGUAUUGAAGAACUGAAGGUACAAUGUCUGUAGUAAAGCAUGUAUGAUCAUAGGCAAAGGUGGCAACAUGAAGUCUGUAGAUACAUUAUACACAUAUCAUAUUAUUAUUAUGUAUAUAUAUUCAACAAUGUGACUAUCUGUCUCUGAAUUGAUAAAUCCACGCACAGUAAAUAAUUUAAUCGCCAUAAUUAGAUAUCAUUAUGUGAUCUUGAAGCGCAGCUGUCGAAAUAACAGCAUGCACAAUGGUAGCUAUUCAUUCUUUCUUCUUAUUUGAGGCUCCCGUCUUUAGGUGCACAUUGGCUACCCUAUCUGGUAAUACACUGUGUGGUCCUUCCACUCUCGAAGUACUUAAGCUAGCUUCUCCAUCAUAGUUCACUGAAAGAACUGCUGUGCUCCUUGUCCCAUAGAGCCCCUUUGCAAAAACAGAAUCAUGUGAAAAAAUGUAAAUAAUAUAGCAUUGCUGUCUCGAUAUAGGGUUCUGUACUAGAACACCUACGUGUUAUUUUAGUGGUUAAUAGGAAUAAUUUUCAGAUAAUUCAACUCUGAAUGUACUUGUAAACUGAAAUAAGUCAAUGAUUUUAUGCUCACUUUGUCAGUUUGCACCUCGAUGAAGAUGGAGCUCAGACCGUGCUCCCAGUUGGGAUCACAACCGGUGUUCGGCAGCCUAUCUUUAUCAGCCUCGUGGUGUUAGUCAUUAGUCUGUCAGCUAUAUCCUUUGUUUCAACUUCAUCUUCACCAUGCUUCCUUAUAAACUCCCUGAAGUUUUUACCGAGGCGAAUUGCCUACAAGCAAUAUAUGCAAUGAUGAAAAAUUGCCUGCACUGCAUUCCUUGGGCAGAUUCUUAUAGUAUACUGAAUGGUCCCUAAGACAGAGUGGCUUGCAAUCAUGUGCUAUACUGCUAUCUACUGUCUUGCUCUUGUACAUGCAGGCUAUUAAUUGAGUUAAAUGCACUGCCCUCUAUAACCAGGGAAGUUCUUGAAAUGGCUUUCAUGUUGCUUUCUCACAUCUUUUCCAGCUCAAAAGUCUCCUUCAGGAUUCUCAGUGCAGUACAAGUAAAAUCAACAAAGGACACCUCAUUGGAUAUUCAACAUUUUUAGCUUGCUACUGAUGUUCUUCCAGUAUUUUAUCAAACAACAGCAUCAUGUGCACUUAUAUUUCUGUGGCACUCUGGGAGUUCUAUCAAUUUGUAAGGUGUCCAUUGGACAUGGAGUAGUUCUGUUACCUUCUGCCAAGGGCUGUCUAGCCUUGCAUUGGACAACAUAUGGAGUCCUGGUGAGACGAGCUGAAUCAUCGCAGGUUGCCCCUUUGGCCGGUUUGACGCAUAGACCAUGACAUUCCUCGUUAGAUCAGCUAGUAUAAGGUUGAAUCCAUUGUACUCAUCAGCUUCUUUUGCCACUUGAGUUGCAACCUCCAGUGGGCUCUUGUUGCCCUGUACAAUACAGAUUCUGUGGAUCAUGCUCAUGCUCUCUAUUUCAUUCAACACACAUCCUAUGGAUAAUCCUGUGCAUGCUUUUGUUUUUGAGGGGCCGAUGGCAGUUUA